GGCCUAAUAGUCUAGUGGUAUGAUGUCUGCUUUGGGAGCAGGAGGUCCCGGGUUCGAACCCCGGUUGGGCCC
This 72-nucleotide transfer RNA is filed under the name Vairimorpha apis BRL 01. RNAcentral's name for it is "tRNA-Pro (TGG) (tRNA-Pro-TGG-1-1)". It matches the Rfam family "tRNA". Rfam says of the family: Transfer RNA (tRNA) molecules are approximately 80 nucleotides in length. Their secondary structure includes four short double-helical elements and three loops (D, anti-codon, and T loops). Further hydrogen bonds mediate the characteristic L-shaped molecular structure. tRNAs have two regions of fundamental functional importance: the anti-codon, which is responsible for specific mRNA codon recognition, and the 3' end, to which the tRNAs corresponding amino acid is attached (by aminoacyl-tRNA synthetases). tRNAs cope with the degeneracy of the genetic code in two manners: having more than one tRNA (with a specific anti-codon) for a particular amino acid; and 'wobble' base-pairing, i.e. permitting non-standard base-pairing at the 3rd anti-codon position. Lineage: Eukaryota; Fungi; Microsporidia; Nosematidae. The record is from Rfam by way of RNAcentral.